RNAcentral lists this long non-coding RNA (846 nucleotides) under Mus musculus (house mouse). RNAcentral's name for it is "long non-coding RNA chr7:29780572-29781418". Lineage: Eukaryota; Metazoa; Chordata; Mammalia; Rodentia; Muridae. The record is from RNAcentral.
GAAUAAAAGUGGAGGCUGUGGGGAUCACAAGGCAUAGUUCCUAAGGCCUGCAUUCCAGCACUCAGGAGUGUAGGCCCUGAGCAGCCUGGGCUACAUAAUGAGACUCCUUCUCAACACUGAAACUGAAUCCUACACAUUAUUGAAGAAUGAGCCCUUUAGCACUUCUACGUGUAGGAAGUGGAACAUGUUAGAAAAUAAAGACUAAUGCCCUCAUUCAUAGUUCUUGUCUGUCUAGUGGGGUUUUUGGCCUUAACCACAGUUAGUUGAAUCGAACGCUUUCUGAGGUAUGUAGACCCUUUUCUCCCUUGCGAUAGAGAACGAGGUGAUGAUCUUUGUACAUAUUAGCUUCUAUCUGCAGAUAUCUAUUAAAGGUUCAUCCCUGGGUUGGAGUUGCUACUUUCUAGUAUAUGUACAUUUACAAAAGGCCAAUGUUACUAGCUUUUGGUUCUUUCUCCAAUGUUACAUAGUGCCCCUAUCCAAUCAUUUUUCUGACACUUUUUUGUUUGUUAAAGCUUUGAUUUCGCUAGUCUGUUAGGUAAAAAGUGUUAUGACAGUUUAAUUUGCAUUUUUCCUGCUGUAUGUAACUUGCAUCUAAUGCCAUAUUUUCCUAUUUUCAAAUAUUACAUUUUCUGUGGAGUGUCUCAGUACCAUUUUCUGUUGAAUGAUUGCUUUCCUGAUGGCUAUGUAAGACUUAUAAUCCUCUCGAACUGUGUUUAUACCAGUUUUCUCUUUUUUAUGCCUGGUUUGGAUUUGUAGACUUAAGCAAUUCAUGAUUGGAAGGUAUCUGUCUUGGUGUUAAUGCUUGUAAAUCAUUUUCCCCCAUUCCAAUAUAUUUUCCAAAAUCCC